This 769-nucleotide long non-coding RNA is filed under the name Fukomys damarensis (Damara mole-rat). Its description in RNAcentral is "lncRNA (ENSFDAG00000032118.1)". Lineage: Eukaryota; Metazoa; Chordata; Mammalia; Rodentia; Bathyergidae. The record is from RNAcentral.
UUGUCUUUAUAAUUCUUUGUACUAAACUUCCCUUGUCUAAAUUGCAGUGUGGUUCCUGCCUCUUGAUUGUGCCCAGACUGUUACAGGCACAUCCCUUCCUGAACAGGAAGGGAGACUUCUCUUUCCACACCAGUGGCGUUGGGCUACAGUUUGGUCUCCCCAUGGAGGUUCCUGUCACCAUGAAGGGCACACAAGUGGCCCUAGAUCAAUUCGUACCUCAUGUCAAUGCUUCAAGGAAUGGUAGUCCAGUGCCGAAUACAGAAGAAAGGCUUCAGUCGGAAGGAAGCACACGACUUGUACGGCUUAUCUCAUAAUUUAAAUUUGCGAAGCCGUCAUUCUGAACCUCUCGUGAGUUGAAGAAACCUUGAAAAUCUCAGGUAUGAAAUUUUAAAAUGUCAAGGACAGUAACUUACCAUACUUUUAGAGUUCAGGUGGCUCAUCAGUGUAGAGAUCUUUGUGUUACCACAAUAGCACAAUACCUGCACACAACAGGUGCUUAAUAAACACCACUGUGCUGAACCAGAGCGAGUAAUAAUGUUUGUCACAAAGUAUUGCAAACCUGAGAUAAAAGUUAUCUGAAAGCAUAAGUCAAGAUCUCACAUUGGUCUUGCAAGAAGCACUUCAGAUGACCAGUGAGCUGGGGCCUGAGAAAUGAGGCCAAUGACCAAGCAAAGCGUGCCAGUGGGUACUUCCCUGCUAGAAUGCAUGGAAAUAUACAAUAACACCAAAUGCCAAUGAUGGAAAACAAGCUGUGAGUGGAAGUGCAGAC